ACCUUCCACUAGGGGUGCACUUGAUUGUGCUGAGAGAGGUGAACACCUUAACCCUUUGAACUUGAACUGGUUGAUACCAGCGUAAGAAAGUGGGGAGUGGUACGU
RNAcentral lists this non-coding RNA (105 nucleotides) under Marininema halotolerans. RNAcentral describes it as "TPP sequence". It matches the Rfam family "TPP riboswitch aptamer (THI element)". Rfam says of the family: Vitamin B(1) in its active form thiamin pyrophosphate (TPP) is an essential coenzyme that is synthesised by coupling of pyrimidine and thiazole moieties in bacteria. The previously detected thiamin-regulatory element, thi box was extended, resulting in a new, highly conserved RNA secondary structure, the THI element, which is widely distributed in eubacteria and also occurs in some archaea. The record is from RNAcentral. Lineage: Bacteria; Bacillati; Bacillota; Bacilli; Caryophanales; Thermoactinomycetaceae.